RNAcentral lists this ribosomal RNA (501 nucleotides) under uncultured bacterium. RNAcentral's name for it is "partial 16S ribosomal RNA". It matches the Rfam family "Bacterial small subunit ribosomal RNA", at positions 28 to 506 of the family's 1533-position model. The record is from RNAcentral.
GACGAACGCUGGCGGCGUGCCUAAUACAUGCAAGUCGAACGAACCGCGACUAAGUGCUUGCACUAAGUCAAGGUGAGUGGCGAACGGGUGAGUAACACGUGGGUAACCUACCUCAUAGUGGGGGAUAACAGUCGGAAACGACUGCUAAUACCGCAUAGGACAUAGGAUCACAUGAUCCAGUGAGGAAAGGUGGCGCAAGCUAUCGCUAAGAGAUGGACCCGCGGUGCAUUAGCUAGUUGGUAGGGUAAAGGCCUACCAAGGCGAUGAUGCAUAGCCGACCUGAGAGGGUGAUCGGCCACAUUGGGACUGAGACACGGCCCAAACUCCUACGGGAGGCAGCAGUAGGGAAUCUUCCGCAAUGGACGCAAGUCUGACGGAGCAACGCCGCGUGAGUGAAGAAGGUCUUCGGAUCGUAAAGCUCUGUUGUUAGAGAAGAACAGCGCAUAGAGUAACGGCUAUGCGUGUGACGGUAUCUAACCAGAAAGCCACGGCUAACUACGU